CCGUAAGUUUUAAAGGGCGCACGGUGGAUGCCUUGGCACAAGGAGCCGACGAAGGACGUGUGAGUCUGCGUUAAGCCUCGGGGAGUUGACAACAGAGCUGUGAUCCGAGGAUGUCCGAAUGGGGAAACCCACCACGAGUCAUGUCGUGGUACCUGCCGCUGAAUGUAUAGGCGGUGUGGAGGGAACGCGGGGAAGUGAAACAUCUCAGUACCCGCAGGAAGAGAAAACAAUAGUGAUUCCGUGAGUAGUGGCGAGCGAAAGCGGAGGAGGCUAAACCUGGUCUGUGUGAUACCCGGCAGGGGUUGCAGGUCAGGGGUUGUGGGACGUGUUGGAUGGGUCUGCCGGCUCAUCAGCGUGUACGUGUAGUGGUAGUCGAAGUCGUGGUGAGUGCGACGGCGUAGAGGGUGUGACCCCCGUAGACGAAACUGCUGCAUGGCGUGACGCUGUUCCCGAGUAGCACCGGGCCCGUGAAAUCCGGUGUGAAUCUGCCAGGACCACCUGGUAAGCCUGAAUACUACCUUGUGACCGAUAGCGGACAAGUACCGUGAGGGAAAGGUGAAAAGCACCCCGGGAGGGGAGUGAAAUAGUACCUGAAACCGUGCGCUUACAAUCCGUCGGAGCCUUGAGGGGUGACGGCGUGCCUUUUGAAGAAUGAGCCUGCGAGUUAGUGGUCGGUGGCGAGGUUAACCCGUGUGGGGUAGCCGUAGCGAAAGCGAGUCUGAACGGGGCGUUCAGUCGCCGGCUCUAGACCCGAAGCGAAGUGAUCUAUCCAUGGGCAGUGUGAAGCGCGGGUAAGACCGCGUGGAGGCGCGAACCCACUUCAGUUGAAAAUGGAGGGGAUGACCUGUGGAUAGGGGUGAAAGGCCAAUCAAACUUCGUGAUAGCUGGUUCUCCCCGAAAUGCAUUUAGGUGCAGCGUUGCGUGUUUCGUGCCGGAGGUAGAGCACUGGAUAGGCGAUGGGCCCCACCGGGUUACUGACCUUAGCCAAACUCCGAAUGCCGGUACGUGAGAGCGCAGCAGUGAGACUGUGGGGGAUAAGCUUCAUGGUCGAGAGGGAAACAGCCCAGAACAUCAGCUAAGGCCCCUAAGCGUGUGCUAAGUGGAAAAGGAUGUGGAGUUGCUGAGACAACCAGGAGGUUGGCUUAGAAGCAGCCACCCUUGAAAGAGUGCGUAAUAGCUCACUGGUCAAGUGAUUCUGCGCCGACAAUUUAGCGGGGCUCAAGCACACCGCCGAAGCUGUGUCACUCAGUCCUUGGGGCUGGGUGGGUAGGGGAGCGUCGUGCAGCCGGCGAAGCCGCGGGGGAACCCAGUGGUGGAGGCUGCACGAGUGAGAAUGCAGGCAUGAGUAGCGAAAGACGGGUGAGAAACCCGUCCGCCGAUUGAUCAAGGGUUCCAGGGCCAGGUUAAUCCGCCCUGGGUUAGUCGGGACCUAAGGCGAGGCCGACAGGCGUAGUCGAUGGACAACGGGUUGAUAUUCCCGUACCGAUCGUAGGAGGACCCAUACCGAGGCAGUCGAUGCUAACCACCCGAGCUGUCUCCCUGCCCUUCGGGGCAGGGGUGAUGGUGAGGCUGGGAACCAAGGUUGUAGUAGGUCAGCGUGUGGGAUGACGCAGUGAGGCAGCUUCCGCGGAGUUAAUGGAAUACUCCGUCCAAGCGUGCAGCCCGAUCCCGGGUAAUGCUGGGGUCGUGUGGGUGAGACGUGAUGGGGAGGACCCUUCGGGGAACAAGGAGAGUGAUCCUGUACUGCCUAGAAAAGUCCCGGCGUGACGAAUACGGUCGCCCGUACCCUAAACCGACUCAGGUGAUCAGGUAGAGAAUACCGAGGCGUUCGAGAGAAUCGUGGUUAAGGAACUCGGCAAAAUGCCCCCGUAACUUCGGGAGAAGGGGGGCCCGAUCCGUGAGAGCGGGGAGGGCCGCAGAGACCAGGGAGAAGCGACUGUUUACUAAAAACACAGGUCCGUGCGAAGUCGUAAGACGCUGUAUACGGACUGACGCCUGCCCGGUGCUGGAAGGUUAAGAGGACCGGUUAGACGCUUUCGGGUGUCGACGCUGAGAAUUUAAGCCCCAGUAAACGGCGGUGGUAACUAUAACCAUCCUAAGGUAGCGAAAUUCCUUGUCGGGUAAGUUCCGACCUGCACGAAUGGCGUAACGACUUCUCCACUGUCUCAACCGCGAACUCGGCGAAAUUGCAUUACGAGUAAAGAUGCUCGUUACGCGCAGCAGGACGGAAAGACCCCGGGACCUUUACUAUAGUUUGAUAUUGGUGUUCGGGACGGCUUGUGUAGGAUAGGUGGGAGACUGGGAAGCAUUCACGCCAGUGAGUGUGGAGUCAUUGUUGAAAUACCACUCUGGUCGUUCUGGAUUCCUAACCUCGGUCCGUGAUCCGGAUCAGGGACAGUGUCUGAUGGGUAGUUUAACUGGGGCGGUUGCCUCCUAAAGAGUAACGGAGGCGCUCAAAGGUUCCCUCAGCCUGGUUGGCAAUCAGGUGUUGAGUGUAAGUGCACAAGGGAGCUUGACUGCGAGACAGACAUGUCGGGCAGGUGCGAAAGCAGGAACUAGUGAUCCGGCACCUCAUUGUGGAAUGGGUGUCGCUCAACGGAUAAAAGGUACCCCGGGGAUAACAGGCUGAUCUUGCCCAAGAGCUCAUAUCGACGGCAUGGUUUGGCACCUCGAUGUCGGCUCGUCGCAUCCUGGGGCUGGAGUUGGUCCCAAGGGUUAGGCUGUUCGCCUAUUAAAGCGGUACGCGAGCUGGGUUUAGAACGUCGUGAGACAGUUCGGUCCCUAUCCGCUGCGCGCGUUGGAUAUUUGAGAAGUCCUGUCCCUAGUACGAGAGGACCGGGAUGGACUGACCUCUGGUGUGCCAGUUGUUCUGCCAAGGGCAUGGCUGGUUGGCUACGUCGGGAAGGGAUAACCGCUGAAAGCAUCUAAGCGGGAAGCCUGCUUCGAGAUGAGAUAUCCUUGCACCCUUGAGGUGUGUGAGGCCCCCAGUAGAUGACUGGGUUGAUAGGCCAGAUGUGGAAGCACAGUAAUGUGUGGAGCUGACUGGUACUAAUGGCUGAUGACUUACAACAACAU
This 3075-nucleotide ribosomal RNA is filed under the name Brachybacterium saurashtrense. RNAcentral's name for it is "bacterial LSU rRNA". It matches the Rfam family "Bacterial large subunit ribosomal RNA". Lineage: Bacteria; Bacillati; Actinomycetota; Actinomycetes; Micrococcales; Dermabacteraceae. The record is from RNAcentral.